Molecule: ribosomal RNA, 439 nt
Filed under: uncultured bacterium
Lineage: Bacteria
Description: partial 16S ribosomal RNA
Rfam family: Bacterial small subunit ribosomal RNA
Source: RNAcentral
CUACGGGCGGCACCAGUGAGGAAUAUUGCACAAUGGGGGGAACCCUGAUGCAGCAACGCCGCGUGGAGGAUGACGCAUUUCGGUGUGUAAACUCCUUUUAUAUGUCAAGAAAAUGACGGUAGCAUAUGAAUAAGCACCGGCUAACUCCGUGCCAGCAGCCGCGGUAAUACGGAGGGUGCAAGCGUUACUCGGAGUCGCUGGGCGUAAAGGACGCGUAGGCGGGUUGGAAAGUCAGGUGUGAAAUCCUACAGCUUAACUGUAGAACUGCACUUGAAACUUCUAACCUAGAGUAUGGGAGGGGGGGAUGGAAUUAGUGGUGUAGGGGUAAAAUCCGUAGAUAUCACUAGGAAUACCUAAAGCGAAGGCGAUCUCCUGGAACAUUACUGACGCUAAGGCGUGAAAGCGUGGGGAGCAAACAGGAUUAGAUACCCCAGUAGUC